Molecule: non-coding RNA, 1116 nt
Organism: Xyrichtys novacula (pearly razorfish)
Lineage: Eukaryota; Metazoa; Chordata; Actinopteri; Labriformes; Labridae
Source: the annotation of a GenBank genome assembly
UGGACUUGGCGGUUGGACGGCGUGUAACGCAGCAGGAUCGAGUCUAAAGUGGAUCUGUUAAAGUGUUCUGGGCCGGGCUCACUCAUAGACCAACCUGCUAACCUGGACCGAACCAGAACCUCCUGGACUGGACCCACACCAGAACCUCCCCCACUGUGGUGGGGAGGGGGGGUCCACUGCUGAAGAGACGGGGAAAUGAUGGACAGCCAGGAACAGGGGAGGAGAGGAGACAGGAGAGAGGAGAGAGAGAGGAGAGAGGGGAGGAGAGGAGAGGAGAGGAGGAGGAGGAGGAGAGGAGAGGAGAGGAGAGAGGAGGAGAGGAGGAGGAGAGAGGAGGAGAGAGGAGAGAGGAGAGGAGAGGAGGAGAGGAGAGGAGGGGAGGAGGAGAGGAGGAGGAGGAGGAGGAACGGAGGAGGAGGAGAGGAGGAGGAGGGGGAGGGAGGAGAGAGGAGAGGAGUGGGAGGAGGAGGAGGAGGGAGGAGAGGAGGGGGAGGAGGGAGGAGAGAGGGGAGGAACGGAGGAGGAGGAGAGGAGGAGGAGGGGGAGGGAGGAGGAGGAGAGGAGGAGGGAGGAGGAGGAGGAGGGAGGAGAGGAGGGAGGAGACAGAUGGAGGAGGAAGGUGGAGGUGGUGGUGGGGGUGUUUCAGCAGAGUGGAGGAGGGGCAGCAGGGGUCGAGGACUGGAAUCUCAGGAUCUGAGUCUCUUUCUGGUUGAUGGUUCCCAGAUGUUGCCCCCCCCCCCCCCCCUAAUACACAGGAGUCCAGUUUGUGGGACGGACAGAUGGGUCAGCCGCGGCGUGGAGAUGGGCCUCCUGCUGAUCAGGGGAAAUGGGAGGUGAGAGGAGGCGUCCUCUCAGACCUGGACCUGUUUUCUUAUCCUCUCUGCCCCCACUGUGCAUGUGUGUAUGUGCGUGCACGUGUGUGUGUGUGUGUGUGUGUGCUCAUUGUUCAUGCAUUCUCGUGCACACACAGGUAUGCACGUGCGUGCUCCUGCAGUGGAGGAGGUUCUGCAGAAUCAGGUUCUGGGUCACACGGCGCUGAAACUCCGUCCCCUCAUGAUUUACGGCGUCUGGCUGCAGGCGGCCAUGUUUCAGGAUGACGGCGUGUUCUCGUCCUCC